RNAcentral lists this ribosomal RNA (459 nucleotides) under Triticum aestivum (bread wheat). Its description in RNAcentral is "partial small subunit ribosomal RNA". The record is from RNAcentral. Lineage: Eukaryota; Viridiplantae; Streptophyta; Magnoliopsida; Poales; Poaceae.
AUGACAUUUGAAGGGCUUCAGGCCGUCGAGGAGUUCUACAAGUCCUAUGCACAUCAUGUGGGUUUUGGAGUUCAUGUUGGACAGCAAAAAUUGUUGGAUAAUGAUGUGGUUCGGACAAAGCGCUUCAUGUGUAGUAGGGAAGGAUUCAAGGUUGAGAAGAGCAAGGAGAUUAAAGACCCAUCAAACCCAUCAAAGAAAAAUCGUAAGAAUACAACUACGCGAUGUGGUUGUGAUGCACAUAUCUUUGUCAAGUUGUGUGGCGACAACACGUACAAGAUACAAUCAUGGGUUGAGCACAAUAGUCAGGGCCUUGUAUCGCUUGAUAAACGCCACUUGAUCAGAUCAAAUCGUAAAGUUACUGAGAGGGCUAAAAAUACACUAUACACAUGUCACAAAGCAAGCAUAGGUACAUGCCAGGCAUACAGGCUCCUUCAAGUCAGCGAAGGUGGUUUUCCAUAA